Molecule: ribosomal RNA, 499 nt
Filed under: uncultured bacterium
Lineage: Bacteria
Description: partial 16S ribosomal RNA
Rfam family: Bacterial small subunit ribosomal RNA
Source: RNAcentral
GACGAACGCUGGCGGCGUGCCUAAUACAUGCAAGUCGAGCGAAGUUUUUCUGGUGCUUGCACUAGAAAAACUUAGCGGCGAACGGGUGAGUAACACGUAAAGAACCUGCCUCAUAGACUGGGACAACUAUUGGAAACGAUAUCUAAUACCGGAUAACAGCAUUUCUCGCAUGAGAGAUAUUUAAAAGUUGGUUAUGCUAACACUAUGAGAUGGCUUUGCGGUGCAUUAGCUAGUUGGUGGGGUAAAGGCCCACCAAGGCGACGAUGCAUAGCCGACCUGAGAGGGUGAUCGGCCACACUGGGACUGAGACACGGCCCAGACUCCUACGGGAGGCAGCAGUAGGGAAUCUUCCGCAAUGGGCGAAAGCCUGACGGAGCAACGCCGCGUGAGUGAAGAAGGAUUUCGGUUCGUAAAGCUCUGUUGUUAGGGAAGAAUGGAUAUGUAGUAACUAUACAUGUAAGAGACGGUACCUAAACAGAAAGCCACGGCUAACUACGUG